RNAcentral lists this ribosomal RNA (443 nucleotides) under uncultured bacterium. Its description in RNAcentral is "partial 16S ribosomal RNA". It matches the Rfam family "Bacterial small subunit ribosomal RNA", at positions 338 to 795 of the family's 1533-position model. The record is from RNAcentral.
CCUACGGGAGGCAGCAGUGGGGAAUAUUGGGCAAUGGGCGCAAGCCUGACCCAGCAACGCCGCGUGAAGGAAGAAGGCUUUCGGGUUGUAAACUUCUUUUCUCAGGGACGAAGAAAGUGACGGUACCUGAGGAAUAAGCCACGGCUAACUCCGUGCCAGCAGCCGCGGUAAUCCGUAGGUGGCAAGCGUUAUCCGGAUUUACUGGGUGUAAAGGGCAUGUAGGCGGGACUGCAAGUCAGAUGUGAAAACUACGGGCUCAACCUGUGGACUGCAGUUGAAACUGUAGUUCUUGAGUACUGGAGAGGCAGACGGAAGUCCUAGGGUAGCGGUGAAAUGCGUAGAUAUUAGGAGGAACACCAGUGGCGAAGGCGGUCUGCUGGACAGCAACUGACGCUGAGGCGCGAAAGCGUGGGGAGCAAACAGGAUUAGAUACCCUUGUAGUC